RNAcentral lists this ribosomal RNA (192 nucleotides) under uncultured bacterium. Its description in RNAcentral is "partial 16S ribosomal RNA". It matches the Rfam family "Bacterial small subunit ribosomal RNA", at positions 461 to 652 of the family's 1533-position model. The record is from RNAcentral.
CGGGUGGGAUGACGGUACCCAAAGAAUAAGCACCGGCUAACUUCGUGCCAGCAGCCGCGGUAAUACGAAGGGUGCAAGCGUUACUCGGAAUUACUGGGCGUAAAGCGUGCGUAGGUGGUCUUUUAAGUCCGAUGUGAAAUCCCUGGGCUCAACCUGGGAACUGCAUUGGAUACUGGGCGACUAGAGUGUGGU